Thalassophryne amazonica is the source of this 118-nucleotide long non-coding RNA. RefSeq lists it as uncharacterized. The record is from RefSeq and is a predicted model, not a curated record. The transcript has 4 exons. NCBI's taxonomy places the organism in Eukaryota, Metazoa, Chordata, Actinopteri, Batrachoidiformes, Batrachoididae.
AAAAACAAAAUUCGUGCAAAAUCUUGGAGGGAAUAGGAAUUGCGGAGGACAGCCGUCCAAAUACCCAGACUGCGCUCCAACCCACCCCGACUGAUUCGUGCAUGUGCCGUGCGCAUGA